Molecule: ribosomal RNA, 512 nt
Filed under: uncultured bacterium
Lineage: Bacteria
Description: partial 16S ribosomal RNA
Rfam family: Bacterial small subunit ribosomal RNA
Source: RNAcentral
AACGAACGUUAGCGGCGCGCCUAAGACAUGCAAGUCGAGCGAGAAAGGGAUUCGUCCCCGGUAAAGCGGCGCACGGGUGAGUAACACGUAGGUAACCAACCCUCGAGUGGUGGACAACUCUCCGAAAGGAGAGCUAAUACAGCAUAAAGUGGCGGUCUUCCGAGAUCGUUUCCAAAGCGGGCCUCUUCAUUAAACCUCGCGCUAGAGGCUGAGCCUGCGGCCCAUCAGCUAGUUGGAGGGGUAACGGCCCACCAAGGCAUAGACGGGUAGCUGUCUGAGAGGAUGAACAGCCACACUGGAACUGAGACACGGUCCAGACUCCUACGGGAGGCGGCAGUCGGGAAUCUUCCGCAAUGGGCGAAAGCCUGACGGAGCGACGCCGCGUGAGUGAUGAAGGCCUUCGGGUUGUAAAGCUCUGUGGGGAGGGAAGAAUAAGUUCAAGCGAAUACCUUGAAUGAUGACGGUACCUCCUUAGCAAGCACCGGCUAACUCUGUGCCAGCCGCCGCAGUAA